AACGUAGGUGGCAAGCGUUAUCCGGAUUUACUGGGCGUAAAGCGUGUGCAGGCGGAUGGCUAAGUGAGGUAUGAAAUCCCGGUGCUUAACAGCGGGAUGGUACCUCAGACUAGUGAUCUGGAGUCUGAGAGAGGGAUGUGGAAUUCCGGGUGUAGUGGUGAAAUGCGCAGAUAUCAGGAAGAACACCCGUGGCGAAAGCGGCUCUCUGGAACGGUACUGACGCUGAGACGCGAAAGCGUGGGGAGCGAACAGG
This 253-nucleotide ribosomal RNA is filed under the name uncultured bacterium. Its description in RNAcentral is "partial 16S ribosomal RNA". It matches the Rfam family "Bacterial small subunit ribosomal RNA", at positions 524 to 776 of the family's 1533-position model. The record is from RNAcentral.